UCCCAAACCCUCCUCCCCGAGAUCCCCCACCCUGCGCCGCCGCCCGGUGGAUCCCCCCCAUCCGCCGCCGCCGCCCGGUCGAUCCCUACCCUCCCCGAGAUCCAAAGCAAUGUCGCCCUCAAUUACCUUGACCGCGGUGGCCACGGGCAUUGCAGUGGCCACGGGAACUGCGGAGCUUGUGAGGGGCACCGCGGACGUGAUCUCCUACAUGAGGGACAAGCGCUGCCGAGAAUGCAGCAUGAUGGUGAAGCAGCGGGAGAUUGUCAAGCAUCUGGAAGACCACCUGGAGCAAAACCAGCUACUGUUCGCAGAUGAGAAGGCAGAGCUGCAGAGCAAGCUGGAGCGUAUGGCUGACGCUGAGAGCAAGCACACAGAGGAAAAGGUUGAGCUGAAAGAAGAAAUCGCUCAUCUUGAGAAGACGCUCAAAGAGGAAAAGGAAGAGCUCCUUCACAAGAUUGAGCUCUUGUAAAUGAUUUCUUUCUUUCUCGUAGUAUGUAUUUCACCUCCAAAAGAGGAUAAGAAACUAUGCAAGGCAGAAAAGGCUGCCCUCAAGGAGGAGCUGUUCAACGCCAAAAAUGAGGUUACCCAGUUGAGAGCCCUAUCGCUGUCCGAUAUCAAGAUCAAGUGUGAAUCGUGCAACCGAUCUGUGCUAACAAGAGACUGGAAUUCUCACGUCCAGAUCCACAGAGACGAGCGCCGCUUGUUGCACAAACAGUUGGAAGGAAAAUUCCAAUAAACACAACAUCCAGGUUUUACUAAUGGACAAACAAGCUGCUCCUGCAUCAUCUGUUUAUCUGACAAUGGCCAUACUCAUCAGGUUUAAGCAAUGCUCAUUCAGGAGGAGGUCCGAAAACAAGGCAAUCAACGUUCAGGAGGAGGUCCAAAAAACAAGGCGAUCAAUUUUAAUAAUUAGUUCUGCUGAACAAUGAUUCCGUGAAUUUUUUGCUACUGCAAAUUUUGUCUUCUGGUGGCUAUCAUAUACAUCUUUGAACGAGCAAGAAUAUUAGUAGAGAAAACUGUCCAGUUUUUCUGUCAUGACAACAAAUGUCCAUGUGGUGGAAGACUUUAAUCUGUUAGUGUCUUAGCAGAAAUUGAUUG
Molecule: RNA transcript, 1098 nt
Organism: Triticum dicoccoides
Lineage: Eukaryota; Viridiplantae; Streptophyta; Magnoliopsida; Poales; Poaceae
Exons: 6
Source: RefSeq, a predicted model, not a curated record